RNAcentral lists this ribosomal RNA (253 nucleotides) under uncultured bacterium. RNAcentral's name for it is "partial 16S ribosomal RNA". It matches the Rfam family "Bacterial small subunit ribosomal RNA", at positions 524 to 776 of the family's 1533-position model. The record is from RNAcentral.
UACGGAGGAUCCGAGCGUUAUCCGGAUUUAUUGGGUUUAAAGGGUGCGUAGGCGGCCUAUUAAGUCAGGGGUGAAAGACGGUAGCUUAACUAUCGCAGUGCCUUUGAUACUGAUAGGCUUGAAUGUACUUGAGGUAGGCGGAAUGUGACAAGUAGCGGUGAAAUGCAUAGAUAUGUCACAGAACACCAAUUGCGAAGGCAGCUUACUGGAGUAUGACUGACGCUGAGGCACGAAAGCGUGGGGAGCAAACAGG